Molecule: long non-coding RNA, 3144 nt
Organism: Tribolium castaneum (red flour beetle)
Lineage: Eukaryota; Metazoa; Arthropoda; Insecta; Coleoptera; Tenebrionidae
Exons: 2
Source: RefSeq, a predicted model, not a curated record
UUGGAGGUGUCUUUAGUACUUUAGUCUACUACAGUAAAAAGUUAUGUCUUAUGUCUUUACUGCAAGUAAUCAGAUAAAAGUGACACACAUUUGUGAAUUGAAAGUUCUUCCCAUUGUCUGGUACAUAAAGAAGAAGGUGCGUUAUGGAAAAUGGCAAAGAAGCAAAUCGCGAAUUACAAGAACUACUUGAUGAAGGAAAAGAAGAAGAGUUCAUUAAACGUCUUAAGGACAAUUCUAACUUGAUGAAAUGUAAAAUAAAAGAUUCCAAGUCAAUACACGAACAAACUUUAUUACAGUAUUGUUGCCGUAAAAAUUUACAAAAAGCUGCGAAAUUUCUCAUAGACAACGGAGCAGAUUUAAUGGAGAAAGCACCCAAAACCGAGCCACCAAUAAAAAUAGCCUAUUUUAUGGGUUAUUUUGAUUUAGCAAAAAUGUUGAUAGAAUCAGUAAGUUCUCGCGGCGAUGACUUGACGAAAUUAGUGUGCGAAGGUUUGAUCAGUUUGAUAAAUUCACGAGGCAGUGACAACUAUAAUAAACAUGAACCUUAUAUUAAAAACUUACUGGAAAUAGUUGAGCAAAAUAAUAUCGAUACUGAAACAUACAAAGAUGAAAAUGGGCAAACAGUUUCUUUCUACGCUUUGUAUUUUGGAUGUUACGAUAUAUUAAUCAGAUUAAAAGCAAAAACACGGUUCAGUGAUACAAUUCUUCCUAGUGAAUUGGAAAAAAUUUUUGACUCCUGCGUUCACAUAAAUGAAAGCGAGCCUAAACCUGGUACACCUAAUAUUACUUUUAAAUAUGACAGUUUAUGUACAGAAGACAGUACUAAAUUAAGCGAAAUUUCUUAUUUUUGUAAUCUAAUUUAUGAUGAUAAAUACAUACAGUUGUUGUGGCAUCCUUUGGUAAUGUGUUUCUUUCUUUUAAAAUGGGUUAAAAUUAAAAAAUAUUUUUAUUUUCACAUUGGUGGAUAUUUAGUUUAUAUGGCACUCUUCAUUUGCCUUACUUUCAUACAUCCAACGGAUAAUACUUCAUGGAUUUUAAUGUAUUUUCUAAAAGGAAUAAUAAUAUUUGUUAAUAGCGUAGAUAUAACAUUUUGGAUAACAAUGUGCACAAAUUUAUAUUCCACUUGUUCAUCAUCUAAAAAAAAUUGGAAACUUUCUUUAUUAAAAAUGUAUAUAUUUCAUAUAUGCAUCACUCUUACAGUCAUAACUUUUGUUAUAAUUUCUUCUACAUAUGAAAAACACUUUGCAAAUAAAAUUUUGUUUAUACCACUUUUAAUUGUAGCUUUUAAGCUAAUCUUAUUAUCUCGAUUAAUUUCGAUUUAUGGUGAAUUAUUUCUUAUUGUUCUCAGUAAUUGUAUUAAAGUCUUAGCUUGGAUGUUUGUUUUAUUUGCAAUAGUUUCUGGGAUUUAUUAUUCAACAUUUAAUAAUUUACCUCAAAAUAAUGGGAAUGAUUUCGUUACGACACUGGUAAUAGUAUUCUACAAAAUGUUUCUUUUACUUGUUGGAGAAUUAGAAGACUUAGCAAAAGAUACUCCUCUUAACGUAACUAUUUAUGCAGUUUUUGUUCUAGUAUUUACUAUUGUUUGUGCAAAUUUGUUAAAUGCUUUAAUUAUAUAUGACACAAAUCUCUUAAAAAAAGAUGCUUUAUGUAUACAUCAAAGAGAAAUUGCUCGAUACGUGCAUUCAUUUGAGUUAGCAGUUGAAUAUUUUCAAGGUCGAUUAAAAUUUUUGAAGAGAUUAGAAAAGUCUAUGAAUUUUAACAAUGAUAAUUUAAAAGAAAUAAAAGGAUAUAUAAAUGGAUCUUUUAAAAAUGUGAAAAAAACACAAAGGUGCUUAAAGUGUCGAAGUUCUUUUCUUCCGACUGUAUUAGGUUAAACGAAAACAUAAUUAAAAGUUUAAAUGUCUUAACGAGAAGAAUAAAAAAAAUGCCCAUUUUUGAUUGUGUUAUUUAUACAGAACAACAUAUUAGAGAUGUUGAGGAAGACGAAACACCUAUUAGAAAUACAGCGUGAUUUUUAAAUAAACCUACAAAACUCUACCCAUUGUAGUAUUAAAAGAGUACAUGUUGGGAUAAAUAGUAAAAAAUAUAUUUGUAUGUCCGUUUUUUUAAGAUAUGCUGGAGAUAUAGCGUACGCCACUGAUGUGUUCAAAAAUAGUAUUAGCAUAGUUAGUGAAAAGCUUGAUAAUCAUUUGAUGACAAUCGUAUUAUCGAUAUCUAUGAUGAAAACGAGUACUUUUUUUCAAUAGAACUAAUUUAAACUUAUAUGCGAUCUAAUAAGUGGCACGAAUUAAGGGGUUUCUACCUCUACGAAACAAAAACGUAAAUAUGGUACAGAUCGUCUCUACUUAUCCUUGGAGAGUUGUGAUAACAUUUUGUUGGUCUAUUUAAGAAUCACCCUGUAUAAUUAUUCAACUAACGUCAAAAUUGCUAUUUAUAAAUGGUAUCCACAAAAACUAUGGUUCAAAAAAAUUAUACCACAUCAUUUUGAAUCAUCCUGCAUACAUAAUACAUAAUUAUUAAAAAAGUACGUCUAAUAUAAUAUAUUUAAUGUAACAAGCGUCUAGAAAAGAUUUACAUUUUAGUGUCUUCUGACUAAGCCAACGCAGGUCCAAGAAUAAAAUUAAUUUAUUAUUUAAUUUACUUUGACAAAUUCAUGACUACUCCUUGGUUCCUAUUUUCUACAGGGUAAGUCUUCUAUUUAUCGACCUGGUCUAGCCAAGGCACAUUACGAUUUUUUAGAUGCUUGUUAUAGGUAAAUUAAGGUUUAAAAAAGUUUGUUUUUGUAUACAAACAUUUUUUAUUUGUAACGUAGGUAAAUCAAAAUUGUAAAUUCUAUUUCAAACCUUUAGACAAAAUGGCAACAGCGCGUUUGCAUUUUUUAUGGUUAAAUUUAUACUUCCUCGAUAAAAAGAAAAUUCUUCUUUGUUAUACUGCGUCGUCAAAAAAAAAUUGAAGACCCAUUACAUACCUCGGAUCAGACUGUAAUAGUGCCGAGAAAACCUAACAAUUGAGACAAAGUAACAGUUUGUGCUAAGGUUUUGAAAAAGAAUAAAUGCACUUUAGGAAUUGUAUGUCAACAAAUUUAAUUGGUGACAGUAAAACUACUCUGCUUUUAUACCUUAAAUAAAAUUUUUCACAAAUGCA